UAACCCCUCUAAAUGGUCUACCAAGGAGUUCCAUACCUCCUCCUCUCACUCUACUCCCUAAGGUUCACAACUAGGGCCAAGGUAUGACAUCACCUUCCAUUGUAUAUACCCACUUUAAGUCUUAUCUUAGUUUUUUUCUUUUUUUUGUUAGUCUCUUCCUCAUCUUUUUAUCACACUGAGACGGUGUAAAUUAAGUUUGGGGGAGGGACUAGGUAUCUAACAU
Molecule: long non-coding RNA, 223 nt
Filed under: Capsella rubella
Lineage: Eukaryota; Viridiplantae; Streptophyta; Magnoliopsida; Brassicales; Brassicaceae
Description: long non-coding RNA (CRUB_LNC000676)
Source: RNAcentral